Molecule: unclassified non-coding RNA, 468 nt
Filed under: uncultured Glomus
Lineage: Eukaryota; Fungi; Glomeromycota; Glomeromycetes; Glomerales; Glomeraceae
Description: SSU rRNA
Rfam family: Eukaryotic small subunit ribosomal RNA
Source: RNAcentral
AGCAGCCGCGGUAAUUCCAGCUCCAAUAGCGUAUAUUAAAGUUGUUGCAGUUAAAAAGCUCGUAGUUGAAUUUCGGGAUUGACGUGAUGGUCGUGCCUUACGGGGUAUGAACUGUUGCAGUCAAUUUCUCACCUUCUGGAGAAAUAUGAUGUCCUUAAUUGGGUGUCAUAUGGAACCAGAACUUUUACCUUGAAAAAAUUAGAGUGUUUAAAGCAGGCUUAUUGCUCGAAUACAUUAGCAUGGAAUAAUAAAAUAGGACGGCAUGGUUCUAUUUUGUUGGUUUCUAGGAUCACCGUAAUGAUUAAUAGGGAUAGUUGGGGGCAUUAGUAUUCAAUUGUCAGAGGUGAAAUUCUUGGAUUUAUUGAAGACUAACUACUGCGAAAGCAUUUGCCAAGGAUGUUUUCAUUAAUCAAGAACGAAAGUUAGGGGAUCGAAGACGAUCAGAUACCGUCGUAGUCUUAACCAUAA